This 449-nucleotide ribosomal RNA is filed under the name uncultured bacterium. Its description in RNAcentral is "partial 16S ribosomal RNA". It matches the Rfam family "Bacterial small subunit ribosomal RNA", at positions 29 to 523 of the family's 1533-position model. The record is from RNAcentral.
AACGAACGCUGGCGGCAUGCCUAACACAUGCAAGUCGAACGAGAUCUUCGGGUCUAGUGGCGCACGGGUGCGUAACGCGUGGGAAUCUGCCCUUUGGUUCGGAAUAACAGUUGGAAACGACUGCUAAUACCGGAUGAUGACGAAAGUCCAAAGAUUUAUCGCCAGAGGAUGAGCCCGCGUAGGAUUAGCUAGUUGGUGUGGUGAAGGCGCACCAAGGCAACGAUCCUUAGCUGGUCUGAGAGGAUGAUCAGCCACACUGGGACUGAGACACGGCCCAGACUCCUACGGGAGGCAGCAGUGGGGAAUAUUGGACAAUGGGCGAAAGCCUGAUCCAGCAAUGCCGCGUGAGUGAUGAAGGCCUUAGGGUUGUAAAGCUCUUUUACCCGGGAUGAUAAUGACAGUACCGGGAGAAUAAGCUCCGGCUAACUCCGUGCCAGCCGCCGCAGUAA